This 253-nucleotide ribosomal RNA is filed under the name uncultured bacterium. RNAcentral describes it as "partial 16S ribosomal RNA". It matches the Rfam family "Bacterial small subunit ribosomal RNA", at positions 524 to 776 of the family's 1533-position model. The record is from RNAcentral.
UACGGGGGAUGCAAGCGUUAUCCGGAUUUAUUGGGCGUAAAGCGUUCGUAGAUGGUUAUUUAAGUUUAAUGUUAAAUUCUAAGGCUUAACCUUAACAAUGCAUUAAAAACUGAGUGACUUUAGUACAAUAGGGGUAAAGGGAAUUUCCAGUGUAGCGGUGAAAUGCGUAGAUAUUGGAAAGAACGCCUACAGCGAAAGCACUUUACUGGGUUGUUACUGAAAUUGAGGGACGAAAGCUAGGGGAGCAAACGGG